CUACGGGCGGCUCCAGCUAAGAAUCUUCCGCAAUGGACGAAAGUCUGACGGAGCGACGCCGCGUGAACGAUGAAGGCCGUGAGGUUGUAAAGUUCUUUUCCGAGGGGAGAAUAAGGAUGGCAGGGAAUGGCCGUCUGAUGACGUGAACUCGGGAAUAAGCCCCGGCUAACUACGUGCCAGCAGCCGCGGUAACACGUAGGGGGCGAGCGUUGUUCGGAAUCAUUGGGCGUAAAGGGUGCGCAGGCGGUUAUGCAAGUCUGGUGUGAAAGGUCUCGGCUCAACCGAGGAAACGCGCUGGAAACUGUGUAACUAGAGUACAGGAGGGGGAGUUGGAAUUCCAGGUGUAGGGGUGAAAUCUGUAGAUAUCUGGAAGAACACCGGUGGCGAAGGCGAACUUCUGGCCAUGUACUGACGCUGAGGCACGAAGGCGUGGGGAGCAAACAGGAUUAGAUACCCUCGUAGUC
RNAcentral lists this ribosomal RNA (464 nucleotides) under uncultured bacterium. RNAcentral describes it as "partial 16S ribosomal RNA". It matches the Rfam family "Bacterial small subunit ribosomal RNA", at positions 339 to 795 of the family's 1533-position model. The record is from RNAcentral.